Molecule: ribosomal RNA, 401 nt
Filed under: uncultured bacterium
Lineage: Bacteria
Description: bacterial SSU rRNA
Rfam family: Bacterial small subunit ribosomal RNA
Source: RNAcentral
AACGAACGUUAGCGGCGCGCUUAACACAUGCAAGUCGAGCGAGAAGGGGGCAACCCCGGUAAAGCGGCGUACGGGUGAGUAACACGUAGGUAAUCUACCUCGAGGUGGUGGAUAACCUUCCGAAAGGAGGGCUAAUACAGCAUGAGACCACGCCUUCGAAAGAGGGUGAGGUAAAAAGCGGGCCUCUCUACAGAAGCUCGCGCCACGAGAUGAGCCUGCGGCCCAUCAUGGUAGUUGGUAGGGUAACGGCCUACCAAGCCGAAGACGGGUAGCUGGUCUGAGAGGAUGAUCAGCCACACUGGAACUGAGACACGGUCCAGACUCCUACGGGAGGCAGCAGUGGGGAAUCUUGCGCAAUGGGCGAAGCCUGACGCAGCGACGCCGCGUGAGUGAUGAAGGCC